Ribosomal RNA from Panthera pardus (leopard), 111 nucleotides. The record is from Ensembl. Lineage: Eukaryota; Metazoa; Chordata; Mammalia; Carnivora; Felidae.
GUCUACGGCCAUACCACCCUGAACGUGCCUGAUCUCGACUGAUCUUGGAAGCUAAGCAGGGCUGGGCCUGGUUAGUACUUGGAUGGGAGAAAGUCACUUCUGCUUUUGUCU